Leptopilina boulardi is the source of this 842-nucleotide long non-coding RNA. RefSeq lists it as uncharacterized. NCBI's taxonomy places the organism in Eukaryota, Metazoa, Arthropoda, Insecta, Hymenoptera, Figitidae. The record is from RefSeq and is a predicted model, not a curated record. The transcript is spliced from 5 exons.
UAAAAACAUUGAAAAUAAAAUGUCAACAAAAAUUGAAAUAAAUAACAAUUUUCAUUGAAUUUAUCAAUAAAAGUAAUUUUUUGAUUAAUUAUGUUAGUUACACUUUUUUUGUUAUGUUUUCAAUGGGUUUUUCUUUUAAUUAAUGAAUAAGAAAAGUGUGAAAAUAGAGAAAUUCGAUUAAAUUAAUGUUUGAUUCGUAAAAAAGCAAAGAAAUUGCUUGAAUUUACGUUCGAGUUGAACUUGGCAAUAAAGACAGAAUAAAAAUGAUUUUUUUUUUUUUUUUUUUUCUUUCAAAUGAGAGCAGUUUUCUCCGCAGACCAGUUGAAGAGGAAAAGCUGAAAUCGAGGAAGUGCAUCCAAACAGACACUUUCAUCUGUCAUUAUCACACCUUCUUUGGUCAUCACAAACAUUUGGACCAAAUUUGGAGGAUUUAUACAUGGAAGAAUUAUUACAUUUCCCGCUGGAUGAUUAUACGUUCCCUUACCCAUUGGUCUCAUUAAACAAUUUUCCGAUUGAACGUGUUGAAUCUAAAAAAAAGAUUUCAUAAGACGGAUAUUAAAAGUUGGGGCAAUUUUCAAGAGUCUCAAGCUUUGUGUCGUGAUCUAAGGCCAAAGAUCAAUUGGUGACCGCAAUGAUCUCAAAUCAUUGUAAAAUAAGCAAACUGUUCCGGUUCGUGUGCCAUAUGCAACCCCAAAACAUGAUAUUAAAUGACAUCAUUUUCAAAAGGAUCGACCGAAUCGCCAAUAUAAUGACCAACCACAACGUGAAUUCCUCUUCGAUCUAUGUAAUCUUUCCCUCUGUCUGAUGAUCUAUAAACAUUAAUUAAAAUUAUUUUUUUAAAU